This 354-nucleotide ribosomal RNA is filed under the name uncultured bacterium. RNAcentral describes it as "bacterial SSU rRNA". It matches the Rfam family "Bacterial small subunit ribosomal RNA", at positions 28 to 383 of the family's 1533-position model. The record is from RNAcentral.
GACGAACGCUGGCGGCGUGCUUAACACAUGCAAGUCGAGCGGUAAGGCCCUUUCGGGGGUACACGAGCGGCGAACGGGUGAGUAACACGUGGGUGACCUGCCCUCAGCUCUGGGAUAAGCCUGGGAAACCGGGUCUAAUACCGGAUAUGACUCCAUGACGCAUGUUGUGGGGUGGAAAGCCUUGUGCGGCUGAGGAUGGGCCCGCGGCCUAUCAGCUUGUUGGUGGGGUGAUGGCCUACCAAGGCGACGACGGGUAGCCGGCCUGAGAGGGCGACCGGCCACACUGGGACUGAGACACGGCCCAGACUCCUACGGGAGGCAGCAGUGGGGAAUCUUGCGCAAUGGGCGAAAGCC